AUGCCUGGAGCAGAUGAGACGUUUCCGGCAGAGUCGAGGGCGACGGUGUUCUUUGGGGCUGUGACAUCUAAAUCGGAGCCGCUGACCUUUGAAGAGUCCCUCAGAUUUGUCAAGAAAGUGAAGGCUCGCAACUACAUGCUGUACCUGUCGCUGUUUGACAUCCUGGGCAGGACAGAGCUGUCCCAGCUGGAGGCCUACCAAACACUGCAGCUGCUGUUCCGCGACCACCCGGACCUGCACGAAGGGCUGGAGAAGUUCAGGCCCCCGAUGCCCACGAAGCACGCCGCGGCGAACAGCAACCUCUGGCCGUGGGUGUUUGCGUGCGCCGCCGUCCCUCUGGUGGCGAUGAGCCUGAUCCCGGCGCUGGGGAACCCGGUGCUGUGGCUCGUCCAGCAGACGCUCGGCGAGAAGAUGAGGGCGGCAUGA
This 426-nucleotide ribosomal RNA is filed under the name Triticum aestivum (bread wheat). RNAcentral's name for it is "partial small subunit ribosomal RNA". Lineage: Eukaryota; Viridiplantae; Streptophyta; Magnoliopsida; Poales; Poaceae. The record is from RNAcentral.